RNAcentral lists this ribosomal RNA (682 nucleotides) under uncultured bacterium. RNAcentral's name for it is "bacterial SSU rRNA". It matches the Rfam family "Bacterial small subunit ribosomal RNA", at positions 67 to 760 of the family's 1533-position model. The record is from RNAcentral.
CGGAAAGGCCCUGCUUUUGUGGGGUGCUCGAGUGGCGAACGGGUGAGUAACACGUGAGUAACCUGCCCUUGACUUUGGGAUAACUUCAGGAAACUGGGGCUAAUACCGGAUAGGAGCUCCUGCUGCAUGGUGGGGGUUGGAAAGUUUCGGCGGUUGGGGAUGGACUCGCGGCUUAUCAGCUUGUUGGUGGGGUAGUGGCUUACCAAGGCUUUGACGGGUAGCCGGCCUGAGAGGGUGACCGGCCACAUUGGGACUGAGAUACGGCCCAGACUCCUACGGGAGGCAGCAGUGGGGAAUAUUGCACAAUGGGCGGAAGCCUGAUGCAGCAACGCCGCGUGCGGGAUGACGGCCUUCGGGUUGUAAACCGCUUUCGCCUGUGACGAAGCGUGAGUGACGGUAAUGGGUAAAGAAGCACCGGCUAACUACGUGCCAGCAGCCGCGGUGAUACGUAGGGUGCGAGCGUUGUCCGGAUUUAUUGGGCGUAAAGGGCUCGUAGGUGGUUGAUCGCGUCGGAAGUGUAAUCUUGGGGCUUAACCCUGAGCGUGCUUUCGAUACGGGUUGACUUGAGGAAGGUAGGGGAGAAUGGAAUUCCUGGUGGAGCGGUGGAAUGCGCAGAUAUCAGGAGGAACACCAGUGGCGAAGGCGGUUCUCUGGGCCUUUCCUGACGCUGAGGAGCGAAAGC